GAGAGCCGUGUGCAUUGAAAGGUGCAUGCACGGUUCGGGGAGGCGGAUAAUUAGGAGUGUGCCAAAGUAGCACGCUGGUUAUCUACUCUAC
Ktedonobacter sp. 13_2_20CM_2_54_8 is the source of this 91-nucleotide non-coding RNA. The record is from Rfam. NCBI's taxonomy places the organism in Bacteria, Bacillati, Chloroflexota, Ktedonobacteria, Ktedonobacterales, Ktedonobacteraceae.